AUUGAACGCUAGCGGGAUGCUUUACACAUGCAAGUCGAACGAGUGGCGGACGGGUGAGUAAUAUAUCGGAACGUGCCUGGUAGAGGGGGAUAACUACUCGAAAGAGUGGCUAAUACCGCAUACCAUCUGAUCUGCCGAUAUCGGAUUAGCUAGUGGGUGGGGUAAAGGCUCACCAAGGCAACGAUCCGUAGCUGGUUUGAGAGGACGACCAGCCACACUGGGACUGAGAAACGGCCCAGACUCCUACGGGAGGCAGCAGUGGGGAAUUUUGGACAAUGGGGGAAACCCUGAUCCAGCCAUCCCGCGUGUAUGAGAAGGCCUUCGGGUUGUAAAGUACUUUUGGCAGAGAAGCGGUAUCUGCAGAAUAAGCACCGGCUAACUACGUGCCAGCAGCCGCGGUAAUAC
RNAcentral lists this ribosomal RNA (405 nucleotides) under uncultured bacterium. Its description in RNAcentral is "partial 16S ribosomal RNA". It matches the Rfam family "Bacterial small subunit ribosomal RNA", at positions 30 to 526 of the family's 1533-position model. The record is from RNAcentral.